AUUGAACGCUGGCGGCAGGCUUAACACAUGCAAGUCGAACGAGUGGCGGACGGGUGAGUAAUGCUUGGGAAUCUAGCUUAUGGAGGGGGAUCACUACGGGAAACUGUAGCUAAUACCGCUUACCAUAGGAUGAGCCCAGGGGGGAUUAUGGAGUUGGUGAGGUAAAGGCUCACCAAGUCGACGAUCCCUAGCUGGUCUGAGAGGAUGACGAGCCACACUUGGCCUGAGACACGGCCCAGACUCCUACGGGAGGCAGCAGUGGGGAAUAUUGCGCAAUGGGGGCAACCCUGACGCAGCCAUGCCGCGUGUAUGAAGAAGGCCUUAGGGUUGUAAAGUACUUUCAGCGGGGAGGCGUUACCCGCAGAAGAAGCACCGGCUAACUCCGUGCCAGCAGCCGCGGUAAUAC
RNAcentral lists this ribosomal RNA (406 nucleotides) under uncultured bacterium. RNAcentral describes it as "partial 16S ribosomal RNA". It matches the Rfam family "Bacterial small subunit ribosomal RNA", at positions 30 to 526 of the family's 1533-position model. The record is from RNAcentral.